GGCCAGCUAGCUCAGUUGGUUAGAGUGUGGUGCUCAUAAUGGCAAGGUCAUGGGUUCAAGCUCCAUCUUGGCCA
RNAcentral lists this transfer RNA (74 nucleotides) under Pelodiscus sinensis (Chinese soft-shelled turtle). It matches the Rfam family "tRNA". Rfam says of the family: Transfer RNA (tRNA) molecules are approximately 80 nucleotides in length. The record is from Rfam by way of RNAcentral. Lineage: Eukaryota; Metazoa; Chordata; Testudines; Trionychidae.